Molecule: ribosomal RNA, 324 nt
Filed under: Zygonemertes sp. Hoplo_CB164_SMCP0336
Lineage: Eukaryota; Metazoa; Nemertea; Enopla; Monostilifera; Amphiporidae
Description: partial 16S ribosomal RNA
Source: RNAcentral
UUUUUGAUUAUUUAAUAAAAAGUGUUUUCUGCUCAAUGAUUUUUUUAAAUAGCCGCGGUAAUUUGACCGUGCAAAGGUAGCAUAAUCAUUUGCCCUAUAAUUGAGGGCUAGAAUGAAUGGGAUUACAAGAUUUUUGCUUUAUUUUUAAAAAAUAAAUAAUUUUCUUUUUUAGUGAAGAAGCUAUAAUUUUGAUAAGGGACAAGAAGACCCUUUUGAGCUUUAUUAUUUUGAUUUUUUUUAAUAGUUUUGAUAAUUUGGUUGGGGCGACCGAGGAAGAAGAGAUCUUCCUUUUAAUAAUUUUGAUCUGUUGUUUUCGAAUGAAAA